RNAcentral lists this ribosomal RNA (587 nucleotides) under Pseudomonas indica. RNAcentral's name for it is "bacterial SSU rRNA". It matches the Rfam family "Bacterial small subunit ribosomal RNA", at positions 85 to 668 of the family's 1533-position model. Lineage: Bacteria; Pseudomonadati; Pseudomonadota; Gammaproteobacteria; Pseudomonadales; Pseudomonadaceae. The record is from RNAcentral.
AUGCCGGCGAGCGGCGGACGGGUGAGUAAUGCCUAGGAAUCUGCCUGGUAGUGGGGGAUAACGCGGGGAAACUCGCGCUAAUACCGCAUACGUCCUACGGGAGAAAGUGGGGGACCUUCGGGCCUCACGCUAUCAGAUGAGCCUAGGUCGGAUUAGCUAGUUGGUAGGGUAAAGGCCUACCAAGGCGACGAUCCGUAACUGGUCUGAGAGGAUGAUCAGUCACACUGGAACUGAGACACGGUCCAGACUCCUACGGGAGGCAGCAGUGGGGAAUAUUGGACAAUGGGCGAAAGCCUGAUCCAGCCAUGCCGCGUGUGUGAAGAAGGUCUUCGGAUUGUAAAGCACUUUAAGUUGGGAGGAAGGGCAGUAAGUUAAUACCUUGCUGUUUUGACGUUACCGACAGAAUAAGCACCGGCUAACUCUGUGCCAGCAGCCGCGGUAAUACAGAGGGUGCAAGCGUUAAUCGGAAUUACUGGGCGUAAAGCGCGCGUAGGUGGUUCAGCAAGUUGGAUGUGAAAUCCCCGGGCUCAACCUGGGAACUGCAUCCAAAACUACUGAGCUAGAGUACGGUAGAGGGUGGUGGAAUU